CAUGUGCAGGUAUCAACAGUUGUCUUUGAUUUAAUCUAUCUUGAAUAAUGCAUACUUUUUAACAUGAAAAUCUCAUUUUCCACAAAACACUAAAUUAAAAGUAACAGGAAGGUGGUAAAAAAUUCAUUAUUUCAGUUACAAAGCAAUGAAUUGAAAACUAUCGGUACAUUCAAGUUAUCUGUAUAAAACAUGGCAUCAACUUAAAAUCAGUAUCAAUACAUGUAUCACCUUAAAUCCGCAGAUGUUGAGUAAGAUUGCCUUUUUAAACAAAAAAUUAUAAUUGCCCUAAAAUGAGUGAUUUAACAAUAUACAAAGAACUAUCAUGAACCAUUUUCAACAUUUACUUUGUUGUUCUAAAAUUUAAAUAUAUAUGCAAUUUCAAACUAUUUAUGCAGGUAAACCAUGUACACACAAAAUUUUAGUACUCAUCUUUACCCUUUUUUUUUAUCCCCAUGUUUUUUUAAAAGCGUGGGGAUAUUGUGUUUAGCUCCGCCGUCUGUCUAUCUGUCCGUCCUGGACACUAUUAUCUCCUACACUAUUAGCACUAGAACCUUGAAACUUACACACAUGGUAGCUAUGAGCAUAUAUACGAUGGUGACAGCGACGGAAUUUUGAUCUGACCCCUUGGCCAAAAGUUAUUGGGGUCAGGGUGGGGCCGGGUCAGUGAUUUUCCUGCGACCCCGAUUCGAAAAAGGCUCAUAACUACUGUGUCCCUUCAGAUAUUGCUUUCAUAUUUGGUAUGCAUGUGUAUCUAGACACCACCUAUCCAUUCGCAUACAAUUUUUUACCCUUGACCUUCAACUUUGGGUCAGUUUUAAGGUUUUGAAAUCUGUGACCGCGAUUCGAAAAAGGCUCAUAACUACUGUGUCCCUUCAGAUAUUGCUGUCAUAUUUGGUAUGUAUGUGUAUCUAGACAACAUCUUUUCAUGCGCAUACAAUUUUGUACAUGCUACCUUGACCUUGAACUUGAGGUCAGCGUUCAGGUUUCUGAAUCUGCGA
Long non-coding RNA from Dreissena polymorpha, 998 nucleotides. RefSeq lists it as uncharacterized. NCBI's taxonomy places the organism in Eukaryota, Metazoa, Mollusca, Bivalvia, Myida, Dreissenidae. The record is from RefSeq and is a predicted model, not a curated record. The transcript has 2 exons.